This 495-nucleotide ribosomal RNA is filed under the name uncultured bacterium. RNAcentral's name for it is "partial 16S ribosomal RNA". It matches the Rfam family "Bacterial small subunit ribosomal RNA", at positions 28 to 507 of the family's 1533-position model. The record is from RNAcentral.
GGCGAACGCUGGCGGCGUGCCUAAUACAUGCAAGUAGAACGCUGAAGGAGGAGCUUGCUCUUCUGGAUGAGUUGCGAACGGGUGAGUAACGCGUAGGUAACCUGCCUGGUAGCGGGGGAUAACUAUUGGAAACGAUAGCUAAUACCGCAUAAGAGUAGAUGUUGCAUGACAUUUACUUAAAAGGUGCAAUUGCAUCACUACCAGAUGGACCUGCGUUGUAUUAGCUAGUUGGUGGGGUAACGGCUUACCAAGGCGACGAUACAUAGCCGACCUGAGAGGGUGAUCGGCCACACUGGGACUGAGACACGGCCCAGACUCCUACGGGAGGCAGCAGUAGGGAAUCUUCGGCAAUGGACGGAAGUCUGACCGAGCAACGCCGCGUGAGUGAAGAAGGUUUUCGGAUCGUAAAGCUCUGUUGUAAGAGAAGAACGAGUGUGAGAGUGGAAAGUUCACACUGUGACGGUAUCUUACCAGAAAGGGACGGCUAACUACGUG